AUUGAACGCUGGCGGCAUGCCUUACACAUGCAAGUCGAACGGUAACAGGUUAAGCUGCCGAGUGGCGAACGGGUGAGUAAUGUAUCGGAACGUGCCCAGUCGUGGGGGAUAACUGCUCGAAAGAGCAGCUAAUACCGCAUACGACCUGAGGGUGAAAGCGGGGGAUCGCAAGACCUCGCGCGAUUGGAGCGGCCGAUAUCAGAUUAGGUAGUUGGUGAGGUAAAGGCUCACCAAGCCGACGAUCUGUAGCUGGUCUGAGAGGACGACCAGCCACACUGGGACUGAGACACGGCCCAGACUCCUACGGGAGGCAGCAGUGGGGAAUUUUGGACAAUGGGCGCAAGCCUGAUCCAGCCAUGCCGCGUGCGGGAAGAAGGCCUUCGGGUUGUAAACCGCUUUUGUCAGGGAAGAAAAGGUUCUGGCUAAUACCUGGGACUCAUGACGGUACCCGAAGAAUAAGCACCGGCUAACUACGUG
This 477-nucleotide ribosomal RNA is filed under the name uncultured bacterium. Its description in RNAcentral is "partial 16S ribosomal RNA". It matches the Rfam family "Bacterial small subunit ribosomal RNA", at positions 30 to 507 of the family's 1533-position model. The record is from RNAcentral.